RNAcentral lists this long non-coding RNA (8357 nucleotides) under Lynx pardinus (Iberian lynx). The record is from RNAcentral. Lineage: Eukaryota; Metazoa; Chordata; Mammalia; Carnivora; Felidae.
GUUUUUGGCGACGGAGUAUCUACUGCCAGAGUUUCCCCUGAUACACACGGAGUAGAGUCUUUCACUUUUGACUCAGUUGUUUCCGAGGUUCUUGACUGUCCAGUGGGCAAGGAUUCCUGUAAAGUGCUUUUUACUUCUUCUUCUGGUCGUUGUGAUUUAGCUGGUGGUUUUGAUACCACUGGACUCUUCUGAAUGGUCUGGACGUCCGUUGGAGAGAGAAAGGCACUGAAGAAAUUUUCAGAUUCAUCUACCACAGUUCUCCGAACUGGCUUUGUUAUUGCUUUAGGAGAGGCUACAGGCUGACUCUGAGGUUCACUGUUUGAUUUUAACCCCCAGGUUGAAGUAUCCCAUCCUCCACUGACAGGGAGACUUAUUCCUUUGACAAAAAAAAAAAAAAAAAAAAAAAAAAUAUAUAUAUAUAUAUAUAUAUAUGUUACAAAAGAAAAAAUAUAUUCAUUUUAUGUUAAUAUUACAAUCGUUAUAAGUCAAUACAUAGUUUAAAAACAGGAAACCUGGGGCGCCUGGGUGGCACAGUCGGUUAAGCGUCCGACUUCAGCCAGGUCACGAUCUCACGGUUCAUGAGUUCGAGCCCCGCGUCAGGCUCUGGGCUGAUGGCUCGGAGCCUGGAGCCUGUUUCCCAUUCUGUGUCUCCCUCUCUCUCCGCCCCUCCCCCGUUCAUGCUCUCUCUCUGUCCCAAAAAAAAUAAAUAAAAAACGUUGAAAAAAAAAUUAAAAAAAAAAAAACAAAACAGGAAACCUAUAGAAUACGACCUAUAACUUGCACCUAUUAGGCUACCUGCUUAUUAUAUGAUUAAUUAGUUCACUGUUGCACUUUAGGCCUUAAAGAGGAAAACUGGUACGGAUAUGUCCAAACUAGGAACCAGGAACAAAGGUAAGAGAUCAAAAUGGGCCUGGCCUACCAGAAGCAAAUAUGUUACUCCCUCCCACAACAAAUUAAGAAAGUAAUGGUAUAUGUUACAUAACUUACGCUCAGUCUAAGAUACACAUCUCACAACAUGUUGUGAUGCAUCUCACAACAAGAGGCAGUACCCUCACUUACAGAUCGUGUGAAGUCAUAGCAAACUAACCUGACCUUCUGUUCAGUUUCUUAUUAAUUAUUCUCAUCGUAAUAUCAGUAAUAAAACAUAGUUACGAGCCGGAAAGAGGGUAACACUCAAAAACUGAACCCAGCAUACUGGCAACAAAUGUCCUUUUCCAAAGAUCAAAGUAAACUGAUGGGAACAGUAACUUCUAAAGGACACAUUCAUUUUCAUGCACUUAAUGACAAGUUCAUUCUCCAAGAGUCAUUAUCCAAACCCACUCCAUGAGAAAGUUUUGUUCCCUUCCUAAAUUACAAAUUAUGUCAGCAAUUAGAAGGUCAUAUGAAAUUCACGGGUGCCUGGCUGGCUCAGUCACUGGAGCAUGUACCUCUUGGCCUCAAGGUUGUGGGUUCAAGCUCCAUGUUGGGUAGAGAUUACUUAAAAAUAAAAUCUAGGGGCACCUGGGUGGCUCAUUCAGUUGAGCAUCUGACUUCGGCUUGGGUCAUGAUCCAGCAGUAUGUGAGUUCUAGCCCCACAUCAGGCUCUGUGCCGACAGCUCAGAACCUGGAGCCUCCUUCGCAUUCUGUGUCUCCUCCUCUCUCUGCCCCUCCCAUGCUCAAGCUCUGUCUCUGUCUCUCAAUAAUAAAUAAACAUUAAAAAAAAUUUUUUUAAUAAAAUAUAAAAUUUAAAAAAAGUGCUAUGAAUUUCAAAGAUGGGCAUUUUUAAAGAAUUACUGUGUUUUUAUACCGAUGGUAGUUUACACUAGGCCUUUUUAAAAACACCAAAGAGAAAAUAACUAUCUUCUGGGUAAAAAUGGUAAUUUAGUCACAGAAACACAUGAUACUAAAAAACCCAAUGAUAAACAAAAAAUGGGCUAUUUGCUAAAAUAUUAAAGCAUUUCUUUAAAAAAAAAUUUCCUUUUCUAAACUCAAAAGUGGCUGAGCAGAAUCAUCACAAAUUCUGCACAAUUACGUAGAUAGGGAUGGGAGCACCUGGUUAGCUCAGUCAGUUAAGCCUCUGACUGUUCAUCUCAGCUCAGGUCUUGAUUUCAGGGUCUUGAGUUCAAGCGCAGUGUUGGGCUUCAUGCCCAGAGUGAAGGCUACUUUAACAAAAGCAAACAAACAAACAAACAAAGUUGGUGGCGCGAAAACAAGCACCUAAAAGCUCCUAAAAACUACCUAGCCCUCUACUGAAGUCUAUUCUAUAAUAUGACUUGAGAAGUAUGUAGAACACUUCAGUUUGGGGGCACAGUUGUGUAUCUAUUGGUUCAGUAUAUAAAAACAAUGAAAAAAGGAGAAAACCAGAAGAACAAAUGAACAAGCAAGAUUAAGUCCGCUAAUUAGUUGAAUUUAGUAGGUCUCCUUAAUGAAUGACAGAAGUCACAUGUCCCUCUUGAAGAAACUGAAGAAUGUUUUACACAAAUCCCAAGGUUAUGUGAUAACUCCCUCAACUGCUCCAUUCUAAAGGCUGGUCACCUUCGAGGGAGGAGGCAAUGUAGAGCAUAGGCAAUCAAUAAAUACUCAGUAAGUAAAUAUUUCACUAAUCUGUCUAUUCUGGAUAACCUAUCUUAAAAAAUUAUAUACAUGACUCAAGACCCAAACUUCAAAAAACGAGUAUCUGUAUGUUUAAAUUUUAUACGCUGUCUCCUCCAGGUUUAGUAAUUCAAAAUGUGGGGUAUCUAAGAAAAAGGAAGUUCAGCUACUCCCACAAGGUCACCAUAGCAUCUUGUAAAAAGUACUAAGAUCCUGACACACAGGCCUGGGCCAAAAAUAUCUGAAAAUGAAGUACCUCAAACUUAGGUCCUUUUCAAAGAUGUAAAAUUUAAAACAAGAAACCAGACAGAAGUAGGCAAGAAUAACUUCCUUCUUUUUUGCACAUAGAUUCAGAGCUCCCAAAUAGACAAAUUUUUGCCCCUCGCACUAAAAUGCUCAACUGUUUCCUUAGGCUUAGAGCCAAAGCAAGUAAAGAUCCCUGAAAAGAUCGGGCUCCAGGAAACCGAGAGAGAGACGCAGCUCUCUGAAAACACAACGUGAUGCAACCCCAAACUCCUGGGCCGGGUUCCACGGGUGGUAUCUCCAAUAUAUUCCACCCCUCACCUGCGGGAUGGCCCAGAGGAAGCUACCCGGCCUCGAUUUCCCCUUCUGUAAAACGGCGACAACAAGAAACCUAACUCGAGGAGCUGUCUGGGAGAUGAGAAAGCCAUAAAAAAGCACAUUCCGCGCUGCCGAGCACGGAGCGCUCGUUAAGCGUCGGGCAUGGUGCCUCCCGUCCCUGCUGAUUUCCUUCACGUCGCGGCUCCCCAGUGCCCGGAGCGAGCAGCAAUCCCAGUUUUCUGGACUGCUCGUGCUUGCAGCUAGCUACGUCGAGCGAGGGCGGAGAACAAGCCCAACAUAUCGCCACCCGCGCCUCCGAGGCCGGCAGGACCCGCACCCGGGGCCCCGGGCACGGAAGAACCGGGGCUGGGAUCUCCCUCCGGAAAACAACAGAGACCCACUUGGAGACAAACGAGCAUUCGUGGACGGGCUAGGNNNNNNNNNNNNNNNNNNNNNNNNNNNNNNNNNNNNNNNNNNNNNNNNNNNNNNNNNNNNNNNNNNNNNNNNNNNNNNNNNNNNNNNNNNNNNNNNNNNNNNNNNNNNNNNNNNNNNNNNNNNNNNNNNNNNNNNNNNNNNNNNNNNNNNNNNNNNNNNNNNNNNNNNNNNNNNNNNNNNNNNNNNNNNNNNNNNNNNNNNNNNNNNNNNNNNNNNNNNNNNNNNNNNNNNNNNNNNNNNNNNNNNNNNNNNNNNNNNNNNNNNNNNNNNNNNNNNNNNNAGCCUGAAGCCCGGGGAGGGGUGCUGCGGAACGGCCUCGCCCCCUUCCUCAAACGGCGGGCCCGGUCAGCGGCAGGCCAUGACUCUGACAAUCCCCCCCGAGCCCGGGACGUUACCCUCAGCCCUUCGCGCACAGCUGAGACGAAAAGGCCCGAGCCGCGCAUGCGCGGGCUUCUUCCACGUACACAACCACCAAAUCCGGGAGCCCAGAGUUCCGUCAAUAGACGGAAGAAAAGGCGGAACUUAGACGUCACAUCCGGUACCCGAAGCUUCCCUUUAGUUACGGAGAACGCGGAACUAUUUCUGUUGAUAGUGCUUACGAGCGUAAGGCGCAAAUCCUAAGCCACCAGCAGCUCUGUGGCUGCUAGCAGAGGUAGCUUCUUCCGGGAGGAAAAGCUACUUUUCACGUGGCUUCCCUCCUAGAAAAUAGCUCAGGUACUAAAAGCGUCUUGCCAGUAAGGAUUGCAAACAGGGGCUCCUGAGUGGCGCAGUAGGUUGAGCAACCAACUUCUGUUCAGGUCAUGAUCUCUAGGCUAGUGGGUUCCAGACCUGCCCGAGGCGCUGUACUGACAUUUCAGAGCCUGGAGCCUGCUUUGGAUUCUGUAUCUCCCUCUCUCUCUCUGCCCCUCCCCCGCUUGCGCUGUCUCUCAAAAAUGAAUAAACCGUUAAAAAAAAAAAACAAAACUGCAAAGAAAACUUUGGCUCUCGGCUUCCUAUUAGCGCUUUGUCUCAGAUAUUUAAUCAGUCCUGUGUUAACCUGGACCUGAGAAACCCUGGGUUUGGGUUUGCCUGAAAAUACUGGACUUUGUAUAAAAGGUCUGGUCCAGCGCACCUGAUGACGUAAGUAAAAAGCUAUCAUCUGCAAGGUGUUACAAGUCUGAAUUUCUGAGGCACAACUUCCCCUUCACAAGUACGCACUUCGCCCCAUUCAAAACAAACCUGAAAAGCACUAAAACUAUUACUCUGUUAACGUGUGUUGUGCAUACUAUUUAAAAUACAACUUUUUCUGCAUUCACUCUUCAAACAUUUCGUUAUGACAAAAAAUGAAACUGGUGGCCUACCUAAUCCGGUCAGUGGCUAAGAGAUUUAGACUCCAUAAUGUUAAACGCAAAAUUCUGUCAACAUUUGAAGCCAGAUUCCAUACAAAAAUUCCGAUUUCCAGAUGACUUUGAAAAAUAUGGAUACCAACAGUGAACACUGAGCUGAGGUACUCGCCACUUUACAAAAGUAAUUUUCACUCCAAUUUGCCACAAAUCUAUUAAACCUCUUCUAUCUCCCUGCUGUGGUUAUUUAGGUUUCCCGCCUAUAUUUUAUCCUACUGCAAGCAACUAUGUCCUAAAGCCAUUUUUUUUUAAUUUAAAACAAAAUUAAACUUUGCCCUUGAAAAGUUAUUUAUGAUUUUCCAAUAGUUUCAUCUAACCAGUAAAAAUUUACAUGUUAAAACUCGUAAUAUUUAGUGAUCUACACAAGUAGUACUAAAUAAUUCAGGUUACUAACUUUAAAACAGCUUAAACAAGUAGACUGAGAAGGAGGUUGGGGGCAGACUGGUGUUGGAAUCCCUGUUCCAAGAUUUCUAAUUGUACAAUUUGGGAUAAAUGAUGUAAACUUUCUAAAAGGAUUGAGCUCUCUGAUGGAGAUAUUACCGCCUUCUCAUACAAGGCUACUCUGAGAAUUAUUAGAGCACCUGUGUAAAGGAGGUGCUAAAUGUUAGUCCCUUAAUAUUCCAAAAUUCAAACUUUAUCUGUAACUUUCUAAAUUUUUAAAAAAAUGUUUAUUUCUGCCAGCACAGAGCCCGAUGUGGGGCUCAAACUCAGGAACCGUGAGAUCAUGACCUGAGCCGAAAUUAGAUGCUUUAACUGACUGAGCCACCCAAGUACCCCUGAAUCUGUAACUUUUUAAGUACCUAUAACUAUGUAUCUCAUUAUAUCAUUUUAUAAUGAAACAAACGUUGAUAUGGAGCUAAAAAGAAUAAAUAAAAAUUUAACCUACUGACAUGUAAUCAUAAAGCUUUUGAAUAGAACACUGCCAUCUAAGUGAAAAACACAUAGUGCAUGUUCCCACAUUGAGACACUAAAACUAAUUUUUCAAUACUUACACUUAAUUUUGUCUAAGGCUUAAUUUUUUAGGGAAGAAAAAGGCAUUUUAAGGACAAUAUAAAAAGAUUCCAUUUCAUUACAUUAUUAUGUGAGACCAAAUUAAAUCAGUAGCUAUUUCUUGUGGUACCAUAAAAGUUUUGUAUUAGUAAUCCUGCUACACAUUUAAAAAUUAUUCCAAUGUACAUUACUAUGGAACUUACUAUCCUUAAUAUACCUUAAAAAUUUUCAGUGAGAAAAGUAGACAAUAUAUGAUUUUAUUAAUAAAUAGUGUGAAAGCAUCAGUGAUAACUGUUUGAACAUUAGAUUCUUUUAAACAUCCAUGUCUUGGCUUUAAUAUUGUGCAUAUUGGCCUCUAUGGCACUACAAGUAAACAUGAAAAUAGUUCCCAUUUCCAUGCACAGGUAUUCAGCUAUAACACCAUUUACAAAUUAUUAUGGACACGGUAACCUUUGCAAUAAUUAAUAUUCAUUUGGACAACCACAAUUAAAUGAAUAUUAAAUCAAGCAAGAAGUAGGCUAUGUUCAAUAUGCUCUAGAUGUCAGGUUGUAAUGUUUAAUGUUAUUUAAAACUUUAUUUUCUAAUUUUCUUUAAAGGGGUAUCUUUUUAAUAUGUGGGUGCUCAAAUGAAAACUGAGGAAUGCGUUCUGUGACCAUAAUAACAGAAGUCACGCAUCAGAGUGUUUGCCUCCUCCUCUAAAGAAAUACAUUUGCUCAUUAUUUCUCUCUCCAGAUAUCAUUUGCCAUAUUAUUAAUGAAAAUGCUUACAAAUACCAACCCCAAAAUUCUGUCUUCAAGGUAAGUUAAAAAUUUAAAAAAAGAGUGGUUCUUUAUAUAAAAAAGUCAAAUUCUAGCAACACUAACGCUAAAAAUGACAUUACAUUUCUUAGCAUACACAUAAUGUAUAAUAUUUCCAUCAGUUUUCUAUUAUGUGCAGAUUUAUUUUCCUUAAGAAGUAAAAUGAAGUUUGAAUAGUACAGUCUGUGGUGUGGUGACAUCAGCAACUGCCAGUUCUUGCCCAUCAACGAGUCCCAAUUCUAUAAUAGAAAAAGUAUAAUUAACCCAAGCAAAAAAAUCUCAACAGAAGCAAAACACACACACACAUACAAAGUACACAUUUAAGGUCUAAACAUCAAAAUCCAAUUCUCUUUAAUCAAGGUGAUACUAUCUUUGAUUUCUUUGAGUUUUUUAAUAUUCUACUGAAAGAACAAUUCUAUUAUCAUUUCUAAAGAUAUAAUUAUAAUGAAAUCAUCAUUUAAAGGCAUUACCUAGAAUAAGGAUUCAUUACUUUUACCAAGAGAAAAAAAGAAGAAAAUGAUUAGUAAAUAUAUUCAUUUAAAAUAGCUUUCAUUCAUUUAAAAUAAACCACUUGGGUGGUUCAGUUGGUUAAGCGACAGACUCUUGAUUUAGUUUCAGGUCAUCUCAUAGUUCGUAAGUUUGAGCCCAUUGGGCUCUGUGCUGACAGCACGGAGGCUGCUUCGGAUUUUCUCUCUCCCUCUCUCACUGUCCCUCCCCUGCUCAUGUAUUCUCUCUCUCUCAAAAUAAAUAAACAUUUUCUUUUUUUAAUCUUUAAAAUACCUUUCAAUGUCUUGGAGAGAUUUGGCCUUGUUCGUUCUUCAAUAGAAGUUACUGACUAGAAAACAAAAUUAUUUUAAUGUAAAGCACAUUAAGUGAAAUUGAACUUGUAAUAUAAUGAGAAAAAAGACUUGUAAUAGAGUUUUGUGAAAAACAAAAAAACAAAACAAAACAAAAAAACAACCAAACACUGAUUACCUGUAAGUAAAGUGUUCUAUUUCUUCCCUCUAAUGUAGCUGUGAUGGCUGGAGAUUUCAUCUGCCUAAAUUAUGAUAGGGAAAACAAAAUAAAAUUAAAAAAUCAAAGAUCACUUCUUAAAAAACAAUUCUAGUUUUUAAAGUUUUAAAAUCAGAAAAAUUAUUUCUACAAUAAAACAAAAAUCCAGAACACUUACAGAGAUGCACUAUUGGUUAAAUAAUCCAAAACCUCCUGCAAUUUAGCAGAUGGAGAAAACUGAAUAUUUUGAGGAAGCUGGCUACAUGCUGGGCAGUUCUCCUACACACAUAAAACACAAUAUAUAAUAGUGGCAUACACACCAAUAAUAGUCUAUAAAUAUGAAAUGAAAAUCAACUUGUUUUAUAAUCGUAUUUCCUACAAAUAAAUUUUCAUGCUUUAAAAUCUGCUUUUCAUAAUAGACCUGUUUUCCUAAAUUAUUUUGCUACACAGUAUUUAUUUUGGGCUACAAUGCAAAAGAUAUAUAGUAAGUAGGUUUCUGGAAGUUAAAGAAUACAUAGGAUGUGGGCAAUUUCACUCAUAUUUCUAACCAGUAAUUAAUACGUAAAAAUCAAACUAUGCAUGAUCAAACAAGUUUUCAUUAGUGUAAUAGUACUUACCUUUCUCUCUG